Molecule: long non-coding RNA, 293 nt
Organism: Zalophus californianus (California sea lion)
Lineage: Eukaryota; Metazoa; Chordata; Mammalia; Carnivora; Otariidae
Exons: 3
Source: RefSeq, a predicted model, not a curated record
AGCUGCUUGGAUGUGAGAGGUGAGGACAGAACGGGGAGUCUGGAAGGACUCCCAGGUUUCUGGCUUGGGUGGCCGGUGGAGCCAGAGAAACAGCAUGAGAAGCUGGUCAUUGUGGGGACACUGAGUCUGAGGACUAUGGAUUUUCUUUGGUCAGCUCUGCCCUGUGCAUUCCUCAAUUUGGUCCCGUCACAUGUGAUAUAAGACGCUCAGUUCCUAGAAGAGCUCUUUGUCUCCUUUCACAGAUGGAGAAACUGAGCUUCCGAGAGGAGAUGUGGUCCCAAGGACACCUCAGU